GAGUUUGAUCGUGGCUCAGAACGAACGCUGGCGGCAGGCUUAACACAUGCAAGUCGAACGGACGUAGCAAUACGUUAGUGGCGCACGGGUGAGUAACGCGUGGAUAUCUGCCUUUUGGUUCGGGAUAACCUUGGGAAACUAGGGCUAAUACCGAAUGGUUCCUACGGGAUAAAGAUUUAUCGCCAAAAGAUGAGUCCGCGUCCGAUUAGCUAGUUGGCGGGGUAACGGCCCACCAAGGCGACGAUCGGUAGCUGGUCUGAGAGGACGAUCAGCCACACUGGGACUGAGAUACGGCCCAGACUCCUACGGGAGGCAGCAGUGGGGAAUAUUGGACAAUGGGGGCAACCCUGAUCCAGCAAUGCCGCGUGAGUGAUGAAGGCCUUAGGGUUGUAAAGCUCUUUUGGCGGGGACGAUGAUGACGGUACCCGCAGAAUAAGCCCCGGCUAACUUCGUGCCAGCCGCCGCCGUAAC
RNAcentral lists this ribosomal RNA (471 nucleotides) under uncultured Alphaproteobacteria bacterium. RNAcentral's name for it is "bacterial SSU rRNA". It matches the Rfam family "Bacterial small subunit ribosomal RNA", at positions 9 to 524 of the family's 1533-position model. Lineage: Bacteria; Pseudomonadati; Pseudomonadota; Alphaproteobacteria. The record is from RNAcentral.